UACGGAAGGGGCAAGCGUUAAUCGGAUUUACUGGGCGUAAAGGGUGCGUAGGCGGCUUGAUAAGUCGGAUGUGAAAGCCCCGGGCUCAACCUGGGAAUUGCACCCGAAACUGGCGGGCUAGAGUGUGGUAGAGGAAAGUGGAAUUCCAGGUAUAGCGGUGAAAUGCGUAGAUAUCAGGAGGAACAUCAAUGGCGAAGGCAGCUUUCUGGGCCAACACUGACGCUGAGGUACGAAAGCGUGGGGAGCAAACAGG
RNAcentral lists this unclassified non-coding RNA (253 nucleotides) under uncultured Gammaproteobacteria bacterium. RNAcentral's name for it is "contains 16S-23S intergenic spacer region". It matches the Rfam family "Bacterial small subunit ribosomal RNA", at positions 524 to 776 of the family's 1533-position model. The record is from RNAcentral. Lineage: Bacteria; Pseudomonadati; Pseudomonadota; Gammaproteobacteria.